Molecule: small RNA, 29 nt
Filed under: Bombyx mori (domestic silkworm)
Lineage: Eukaryota; Metazoa; Arthropoda; Insecta; Lepidoptera; Bombycidae
Description: ovarian small RNA-6815
Source: RNAcentral
UCACAAGAGGUCCUACCACCAGUAAUUUA